GAAUGUAUGGUGUAGUGGUUUGAGUGUUAGACUACAACUCUGGAGACAAGGGUUCAUUUCCCUGCUCAGUCA
Phrynosoma platyrhinos (Desert horned lizard) is the source of this 72-nucleotide non-coding RNA. The record is from the annotation of a GenBank genome assembly. NCBI's taxonomy places the organism in Eukaryota, Metazoa, Chordata, Lepidosauria, Squamata, Phrynosomatidae.